This is a long non-coding RNA of Anolis carolinensis (green anole), 3937 nucleotides long. RefSeq lists it as uncharacterized. The transcript is spliced from 2 exons. The record is from RefSeq and is a predicted model, not a curated record. NCBI's taxonomy places the organism in Eukaryota, Metazoa, Chordata, Lepidosauria, Squamata, Anolidae.
AAAAUUGGCUUCUUGUGGAAACAAGGAUUGUUGAUAAGCCUCAGUUGAGACAUCAUUUCUUUAUGAUAACUCUUCCAGGAGUGGAUUUUCCUUCCUAGGUAUAGAUUUCUCUUACCUCCUGUUGUCUCACUCUUGUUCUUAACUAUGAGUCAUUCGUAAGUUGGAUGUUUGUAAGUCAGAGACUGCAUGUAUUAUUAUUAGUUUUAAGGUUAUAGGCUCAGCAUAUGAUUGCACAGCUCAGUUUUCUGGGGAUAUUUUUGUAUGUGAAAUACAGUAGACAAUCCUCAGAGAAAAGUAUUUGUCUCAGUUGACUCCUCUGUGUGGAAAAAGCAAAUAAAAGUAACAGAAGUUGUUUGUCUUCUUCCACCAUAUAUGAAAAAGAUCUAAUUUUCAGUCUCUGGCUCCUCCAAGGACUAUGGAAAAGGUUGGCUAAAACUACAACAGAACCAGUGUUUUUUAAGAUGAAAUAGUUCUAAGAUUUUUUUAUUUUUCUCAGUCUGCUACAAUGAAGUAGGUCAUCUGGCUGAUUUUCUCUCUAUAUAUAUGUCCCUUUAUUUAUUUAGUGGGAAGACACUCUUUAUCUCCAAAUCUUCUUGAAAAAUGUUAGGUCUGCAGUAUAAAAAGAUUUGGGCCAAGCAUUACAAUACUGUUGUUAUUGUAGUGAUAAAGGGGGCAAGGUGGCUUGUAUAACUCUCAUGCACAAUCCCAUGGAGGCUACAUUGCUGUACAUUCAUGGGGCCAUGUAUACAAGUGAGAGAAGAAAAGAGAGAGAUCAAGCAAAAGAGAAGAAACCCUAGUCACCCUCAAGGAAAAAGUGACACACGAGGAAAAAAAUGGCAAUCAACCAAAUCUUAUAGUAGAUAACAAUUGGUAAUGAUGUAUCCUUUCAAAUCAUUCCUGACUUGUAGUGACCAUAAGCCAAACCUAUCAUGGGGUGGUGGAUUUUUUGCAAGAUAUGUUUAAAGGGGUUUGGCUUUUUUAUUUCUCCGCAGCUGAGAGAGUAUGGUCUGCCUAAGAUCUCUCAGUGGGCUUUUAUGGCUAAAUGGGGGUGUGAAAUCAUCAGUUUUCUAAAUAGGGCUCACCUUUAGCCUUCUGAUAAUGGCCUAUGACAGCCACCAAGAAAGUCUUAUCCCAUGUUCCCACCACCUGCACACAGGAAAAAAGGUCACAUAAAAUGACCCGACAGUUCAAAUUUGGCCCAAAGCCUUGACACAUAUGCUAUAGAGUUACACUGAAGGAUCUAGAAAUUUCUAGAGGGAACAUUUCAGCCAAAUCCACUGAUAAUAAAAGCCACAAAAGUGAAAAAAGCUGACCGUAUUUUGAAAACAAAACAUCAACUAAAACCUGAGGUUUUCUGUUGCUAUUGAUAGAAGAAGCUGUAUGCUCAGAAAUGGAGAAGCAUUACUGUUCCAUUGCAAGAAGACUGGCUGAUAAAACUCUAUGACCUUGCAGAGAUGGACAAGUUGAGGAUCUUGAUUGAAGAUAAAUCAUUGUCAUUUUUGAUAAAGCUUGAGAUGUAGUAAUUGCUGAUGUGUAACAAUGCUAGAGGAGAUUUGCAGCAUUAAUUUUUGAAGAACAGUAGAAUUUUCUGUUAUUGUAGAAGUUAAUUAAGAUAAGUACUUGGAGGAAAUAGAUAUAUUUGAUAAUUAAAAUCACUAGUUUGGAAGUUGGAAGUCACAUGAUUAUCUCCUGUAUUAGUAACAUUAGGUUUUUGGGAUUUUUUAAAAAAUUCUCUUACAUUAUUGCAGCUUUAUAGUUUUUACCUAUAUGUUUUUAUAUACUGUACUUAAUUUUUCCAAUAUUUAAUAGAGUUUUUUUUUUAAAAAAAGAAAGAACAAUAAAUAGAUGCAAUUCAGAACACAAAAGUCUCUUUCAUACUGAGCAACCAGUCCCCAAGGGUCUUCACCUAUUUAUGAAAGGACAGCAAGAAGGAUGCCAGCCUAUCUCUCUAGGAAGCCACCUAGAAAGUCUUCUUCCAUUCUCACUAGAUGUAGCUGUACAGGUAAUGGCAGAAAGAAAGAAGGGCCUCCCUGGAAGAUCUCAGUACUGUCAAUUAGAGAUUGCUGUGUUAUCUAGAAAUAAAUUGAAUGUAACUCCAUGAGUUUAAAUGUUUGUAUGAAAAGAUACUUCUUCAACAACAUGUGGUCACUGCUAGGAGCUACUGAAGGUUUAAGUAAGUGAUGGGACUGGCCAAGGAAGCAGUGUCACACCCAUGUGAUAAAAAUGACAAGUUCCACGUCAUAUCCUUUGUCCUUGAGCAUGACGGAUAUCCAGUGUGACUGUAUCUAGAGAGUGGAGGACAUGCGCUCACCCCUCUUCUUCUCCAACGCCUCCAUGAGGGAGGAUGUGUGACCAUGAUGGGAGUAAUCACCCAUGAUUAGAAAUGAAAUUGAUGGGGAGCUGCGUUUCAUCAACUGGAACAGAAGUGCGUUUGAGAGAGCUGACCCAAAUGAAUGACAACUAAUUUUUGUCAUGUGCGUAAUCUUGCACUCUUUGCCACAAUGCUGUUAUGCUGUUGGGAGGCAUGAGAACGCUUUCAUUAUGAAGUUGCCUAGUUACUGGUUUCAAGAGCUGCUGGAAAUGCAGAAAGGAAAACACCUGCCAUGGUCAAUCUAAUUGCUCUCAAUAUACUUUCAGGCAUCAAGUUUGUGUUUCAUCAUCUCAGUCUUCUCCAACUGACUGGCUUGGCUCUUAUAGUAUGACAGCAGCAUGGUGUGAAGCCCAUAUAAUGCUUAAGAUAGUAAGAUUUACCUCUAGUUAUUAAGGGUGGGAGACUCAUGGGAACUCCAUGCAUGCUACUUUGACAUCUCUGGAAGACAGAACACAAUUGCUAUCACUGAGCAAAAAAUGCUUAAGACACACUUUUUAUCCUCUAGGAAAAUUACAAAUACAAUUAUGUUGUCAGUCGCAUAGAAAAAAGAAUGCUGUUUUUCAGAGACUACUCUGAAUAUUUAUGAUUAUUUUUAAUGGUACCCUAGCCACAGGUAAGAUGGUAGAUUCAGCCUCAGUUGGAGAGUGAAUCCAUUCCAGAUUUCAUGCAAGACUUUAAAGGUGAUCAGCUUGAAUAGUUUUGUUAGGCUUAAAGUCUGGGGUGCAUCUACACUGCAAAAUUCAUGUAGUUUGACAUCACUUUAACUGGCAUUGCUCAAUGCUAUGGAAUCAUGUACAUCGUAGUUUAAAGAAUCACCAGCAUUAUUUGGCAGAGAAAGCUAAAGCCCUUGUAAAACAACCAAUCCUGGGAUGUCAAACCACACAAAUUAUACACUAUAAGCCGGACCAUAGAACCAGGGCAAAUUCUUCACCACACUGGCAUGGAACUGACCAAUCAGGAAGAAACAUCUAAAACCCGGGAACAAAUCCAGAUAAAAAAUUCUGUGAUUUUCCUUUGCGGGGACAAACAGACAGGCGAAGAUCCAGACCGGGCUGUGGUGCAGCUGGUUAGUAGCCAGCUGCAAUAAAUCACUACUGACUGAGAGAUCAUAAGUUCAAAGCCAGCCCGGGGCAGGGUAAGCUCCUGACCAUUAAUAGUCCAGCUUGCUGUUGACCUAUGUAGACGAAAAACAGUUGCAUCUGUCAAGUAGGAAUUUAGAUACCACUUAUAUGUGGAGGCUAAUUUAACUAAUUUAGGGCUCCAUAAAAAUCUUCAGCAGCAUGCGGAAGUAUGAGGAAGUAUUCUAUCAAGGACUUGGUGUCACAAGUGGACGGUAAAGCAGUAGCUUCCCCUGUGGCCAGAAUUGAGCAUACCCUCAUGAAAGCAGAAGCUGGAAUGUUAAAUUACCUCGUGUCUGUCUAUAUGUGUUUGUCUAUAUAUGUUGUGUGUCUAAUGGCAUUGAAUGUUUGUCAUGUAUAUGUGUAUUGUGAUCUGCCCUCAGUCCACUUUGGGGUAAGAAGGGCAGAAUAUAAAUACUGUAAAUAAAUAUUCGACAAAAAACCACAA